UACAGAGGGUGCGAGCGUUAAUCGGAAUUACUGGGCGUAAAGCGCGCGCAGGCGGCUUUGCAAGUCGGGUGUGAAAUCCCCAGGCUCAACCUGGGAACUGCAUUCGAGACUGCAUUGCUAGAGUAUGGGAGAGGGGAGUGGAAUUUCCGGUGUAGCGGUGAAAUGCGUAGAGAUCGGGAGGAAUACCGGUGGCGAAGGCGGCUCCCUGGACCAAUACUGACGCUCAGGUGCGACAGCGUGGGGAGCAAACAGG
This 253-nucleotide ribosomal RNA is filed under the name uncultured bacterium. RNAcentral's name for it is "partial 16S ribosomal RNA". It matches the Rfam family "Bacterial small subunit ribosomal RNA", at positions 524 to 776 of the family's 1533-position model. The record is from RNAcentral.